RNAcentral lists this ribosomal RNA (239 nucleotides) under uncultured bacterium. RNAcentral describes it as "partial 16S ribosomal RNA". It matches the Rfam family "Bacterial small subunit ribosomal RNA", at positions 15 to 244 of the family's 1533-position model. The record is from RNAcentral.
GAUCAUCUCAGGAUGAACGCUAGCUACAGGCUUAACACAUGCAAGUCGAGGGGAAACGACAUCGAAAGCUUGCUUUUGAUGGGCGUCGACCGGCGCACGGGUGAGUAACGCGUAUCCAACCUGCCCACCACUUGGGGGAUAACCUUGCGAAAGUAAGACUAAUACCCAAUGACGUCUCUAGAAGACAUCUGAAGGAGAUUAAAGAUUUAUCGGUGAUGGAUGGGGAUGCGUCUGAUUAG